GAACGGUCUGGAAAGGCCGGCCACAGCGGGUGACAGCCCCGUAUUCGAAGCGAGACGAAGCAUAGUGUAAUCCUGAGUAGCGCGGGACACGAGGAAUCCUGCGUGAAUCUGCCGGGACCAUCCGGCAAGGCUAAAUACUCCCGAGAGACCGAUAGUGAACCAGUACUGUGAAGGAAAGGUGAAAAGCACUUCGAACAGAAGAGUGAAAUAGUACCUGAA
RNAcentral lists this ribosomal RNA (219 nucleotides) under Bacteroides caecigallinarum. RNAcentral describes it as "partial 23S ribosomal RNA". It matches the Rfam family "Bacterial large subunit ribosomal RNA", at positions 335 to 554 of the family's 2925-position model. Lineage: Bacteria; Pseudomonadati; Bacteroidota; Bacteroidia; Bacteroidales; Bacteroidaceae. The record is from RNAcentral.